AUUCUGAGAGAGAAUGCUUUUCUAUUGACAUGGUAUCUUAAUUAAAUCUACAAAUGGAACACGUCUUUGGUGUUUUCAGUAAUUUUUUUCUCCUGCGAAUUACUUUCAAUAUUUGUUUGUUCUUCAGCCAGAAAUGCAGUCCAAGGGAAGCUGGAAACAAUGCUCAGCUUAGAAUCUUGAUAUUAGCACAUACAGUCUACAUAAAGACAUUAAAAUCACACAUUAAGCAAAGCCUCGGACUCCACAGAAGAGAAUGAAGUGAAUUUAUGAAUGUCACAAAAGAUUACUGAUCUCCAAGAUAGGCAGUUAUCCGGCUUCCUGGUAAUUGCAGAUGGCCAGUAAGAAAAUGCACAAAUGGCUGAGGAACUGGACAAGCUGAGAUUCCCUUAUUCUCGAAAACAACCGGCGUUCUAUCUCCAAAUCAGAAAAAUAUCUGAGGAAAAACUGCAGGAGUGCAGAAUAGAGAGCAACAAGCCUAGAUGCUUUCCCCAGACUGCUAUGUUCACUCACGGGACUCAACUCAAGAAGCUUAACUGCUGUCACACGAGGUGCAUAAGAGGCAAAGGAGGCUGAAAACAUUCACAUUGCAGCUACUCUAACUUGCCUUUCUCACUACUUUCAGUUUCUUGCUCUAUGUCAUGUUACACUGUCAUUCAUAUAUAGAGUUUGUACAUGAACUGAUGACCGAUGAUGAACUGUUGUUAAAGAUCAAAUUCCCACUACCAACCCAUCCUUUCUGAACUGAACUGUAAAAUGAGUCUUUACUCACUGUCUAACCCUAGCCCAAUUCAAAUAAAGCCAUUGACUUCAGCAAGCUGGCUUGUAUGAAUAAGUCUUGUGAAGACAUGGCCUGUAUGUUCCAAACUGUCUCAUUUUUUGUCACGUUGACACCAGGGACUUGUAUCCUUUGAAGGUUCUUGUGAAGCCUUCACCCUCUUGUCCUUGUGAAGUCCAGCAGUAGCAGUAACUUUGAAGAUGUAGCUACUCUUUUUUCAUCUAUGCUGCCCCUUUGUCCAACAGCCCUUUACUUUAACACGAACAUUUUCUUCUAGUAUGCAAUGUAAAAUCCCCAGUUGCCUUUCUUGGAAUACUGUUGGAAAGGCUUAAAGCCAGUGCUCCGCGUUUCCCACUGCCAGUCAAUACUUCUCUGCCCUCUGUCAAAGUUACAAAACUGGAGAAAGGCAGUGGCUGUGAAAUAUAUGUUGUCCAUGAGCUCACCUAAGAAAUGACGCAGUGAAUAGUCAUUUGUUCCCUAUUGCAUAAUGGUCAUUUUUCCACGAAUACUGCUUGAAGCAGUACAGAGAAUACAUUUGCAUAAACCAUUUGUUAGGAACAGAAGACUCUUUGUGAAGAACUAUUAAAAAACCACAUAAUCUACUUUUCUGUUCUUAUGCAGGUUCCAGUGAGAACACAGAGCUCCUUUGUAAACAGAAUCUAAAUACAAGGGCUGGGUAUGUUUUUCCUGCAAUCAAGAUUCCAUAAAUAAUAAAAUUGGAGUUCAAAACCAGAAGUACCUGAAAUUGUUAAAUGUAAUGUUAAUGAUUUCCUGGCGGUAGCUGAAAUUCAGAAAGUUUAACACUACUGGUAUCCGUGCUAUUUUGACCGAGGUGAACCCCUGCUCCCCAAGUUCUGCUAAAUAAAGCUGUAAUUAAUCUGCAGUAC
Molecule: long non-coding RNA, 1662 nt
Organism: Gallus gallus (chicken)
Lineage: Eukaryota; Metazoa; Chordata; Aves; Galliformes; Phasianidae
Source: Ensembl